AAAAAAAAAAAAAGGAAAAAAACCAAUUAGCACUAAAAUGAAAAAUUUGACUGCUCCAAUGAAACAUCAAAUAGCUUUGCUCCUCAAGGACAAAGAAAUUAAUGAAAUCAUCUCGGUAUAGAAAGCAAUCCCAAAUUUAGGAAUAUGGUAAAGUGAUGCUUGAUGUAGACGUAACAUCUUGAAGAACUAGAGUAGUCAUUUGUAUCUGUUUGGAAACCUUUAAAUGCAUGACUUCUAUUCAUUUUAAUUCUAUUUGCUCAAGUCUCAAGUUUGGAAACCUCUGUAAGUGAUAGAAUUCAAUUCUUGAGGGGCUAAAAAGUGGCAUUUUGCAAGAAUUCAGUUCUUUGGUUUAGUAGUGGCACGGCACAUUAUUGAAAAACCAAAAAUACCUUUGAAACCAACUCUAUUAUCUUGAGGAUAGGGUAAUAUAGGAAACUGCUUGAAUUCAGUUCACUGUUCAAUUAUUCCAAAUACUAAAAUUCAAUUGAAUUAUGCCAUUUUAAAAGUUAUUCCAAGUAUGUGAAAAUUCUAUCAAAAAAAUCAAUUGAAGAGGGUGUAUGUUCUCAUUUAGACAUACUUGCAAGCACCCAAAUAUAUCCAUAACAAUAUGGUACACGUGCAGAUAAAUAUGUUUUGA
RNAcentral lists this unclassified non-coding RNA (637 nucleotides) under Hevea brasiliensis (rubber tree). The record is from RNAcentral. Lineage: Eukaryota; Viridiplantae; Streptophyta; Magnoliopsida; Malpighiales; Euphorbiaceae.